Molecule: ribosomal RNA, 492 nt
Filed under: uncultured bacterium
Lineage: Bacteria
Description: partial 16S ribosomal RNA
Rfam family: Bacterial small subunit ribosomal RNA
Source: RNAcentral
AGUGAACGCUGGCGGUAGGCCUAACACAUGCAAGUCGAACGGCAGCACAGUAAGAGCUUGCUCUUACGGGUGGCGAGUGGCGGACGGGUGAGGAAUACAUCGGAAUCUACUUUUUCGUGGGGGAUAACGUAGGGAAACUUACGCUAAUACCGCAUACGACCUACGGGUGAAAGCAGGGGAUCUUCGGACCUUGCGCGAUUGAAUGCGCCGAUGUCGGAUUAGCUAGUUGGCGGGGUAAAGGCCCACCAAGGCGACGAUCCGUAGCUGGUCUGAGAGGAUGAUCAGCCACACUGGAACUGAGACACGGUCCAGACUCCUACGGGAGGCAGCAGUGGGGAAUAUUGGACAAUGGGCGCAAGCCUGAUCCAGCCAUACCGCGUGGGUGAAGAAGGCCUUCGGGUUGUAAAGCCCUUUUGUUGGGAAAGAAAAGCGGCAGGUUAAUACCCCGCUGUUCUGACGGUACCCAAAGAAUAAGCACCGGCUAACUUCGUG